Agelaius phoeniceus (red-winged blackbird) is the source of this 1003-nucleotide non-coding RNA. NCBI's taxonomy places the organism in Eukaryota, Metazoa, Chordata, Aves, Passeriformes, Icteridae. The record is from RefSeq and is a predicted model, not a curated record.
ACUUACCUGGCUUACCCAGUUUCAAACAUGUUUCUCUGGUUCCUGUGCUUCCUCCUCAGACUUUGUCACUGAUGCUGUCACAGUGCCCGACCCAUCAAAUGGACCUUGAUUCAUGGUCCCUCUGCCUGGACUUAGCUACAGAACACAAAUAAUGUCCUGCCUGUCUUCAAAAACUUCCCUGCAUCCAGAAACUGGAGCACAUUGUGUCCUGGAUCCAAGAGAGGUGGCCUGAUUGGUAACACUUGCUCCUGUACCUAGGCUCAUCUUCAAAAGGAUUUAGAGCAGAUUUCCCUGGAGUGACUAAGCCAGAUUCAAAAAUCUGGGAAAAAAAUUUUAACUGGGAAGACUGCUUUUUCCUUCUGUAUCCAUCUCAACAGACAAAAGUAUGGUCAUGGCUUAUUCAGUACAGGCCAUCAAAGCUAACACCUCACCUUGGGAGAAAUCCAGUAUACAAAUUCUGGUUUAUUUUUCCAAUUCUCAAAAAGAAAAGUCUUUAAAGAAAUAAAUGAUUGUGGGUGGUGGUGUGUUGUUGGUGGGUUUUGGUUGUUGUUUGUUAUUUUUGGGUUUUGUUGUUUGUUUUUGAUUGGUUGUUUUGUUUUGUUUAUUUGGGUUUUUAAAAUAAUACAAAUUAGGAAAUGGACCUCCAGAGGGGCUUCCUAUUCUGCAGGAGAAAGAAAAGGAAGAAACAUGAAAAGAAAAGGAAGCAGCAUGAGCAUGAAUCUCCUGCCUGGGAAAAUGAAUCAGCCAUCUGGCAGUUUGAGUUUAUUCUGAUCUUCUUUCGUGGUGAACCUCUGGCCAUUAAUUCAGACACAGAAUUGAUAUCUGCCCUCUCCCUGCUCAGUUUCCUGUGUCACUGAUCAUGAAGCUCUCUUUGGAUCAAGCAUAACAGUGCCUGUAAAGUCUUUGUUAAAUCCUCUCUAAAUUGGGCUCAAUAUCAGAAAUGGUGGAAUUUGAAGCACCUAAAGAGUAGCUUUUUUGAAAAAGAUUACAUAGUCCUGUGAAA